RNAcentral lists this ribosomal RNA (473 nucleotides) under uncultured bacterium. Its description in RNAcentral is "partial 16S ribosomal RNA". It matches the Rfam family "Bacterial small subunit ribosomal RNA", at positions 28 to 507 of the family's 1533-position model. The record is from RNAcentral.
GACGAACGCUGGCGGCGUGCUUAACACAUGCAAGUCGAGCGGUAAGGCUCCUUCGGGAGUACACGAGCGGCGAACGGGUGAGUAACACGUGAGUAAUCUGCCCUUCACUUCGGGAUAACCACCGGAAACGGUGGCUAAUACCGAAUACGACCAGUCUUCGCAUGAGGUGCUGGUGGAAAGUCUUUUCGGUGAAGGAUGUGCUCGCGGCCUAUCAGCUUGUUGGUGGGGUAAUGGCCUACCAAGGCUUCGACGGGUAGCCGGCCUGAGAGGGUGACCGGCCACACUGGGACUGAGACAAGGGCCAGACUCCUACGGGAGGGAGGAGUGGGGAAUAGUGGACAAUGGGCGAAAGCCUGAUCCAGCAACGCCGCGUGAGGGAUGACGGCCUUCGGUUGUAAACCUCUUUCAGUACCGACGAAGCGCCCUGUCGGGUGGUGACGGUAGGUACAGAAGAAGGACCGGCCAACUACGUG